This 653-nucleotide ribosomal RNA is filed under the name uncultured bacterium. RNAcentral's name for it is "bacterial SSU rRNA". It matches the Rfam family "Bacterial small subunit ribosomal RNA", at positions 65 to 713 of the family's 1533-position model. The record is from RNAcentral.
GACGGCAGCACGGACUUCGGUCUGGUGGCGAGUGGCGAACGGGUGAGUAAUAUAUCGGAACGUACCCUGGAGUGGGGGAUAACGCAGCGAAAGUUGCGCUAAUACCGCAUACGAUCUACGGAUGAAAGUGGGGGCUCGCAAGACCUCAUGCUCGUGGAGCGGCCGAUAUCUGAUUAGCUAGUUGGUAGGGUAAAAGCCUACCAAGGCUUCGAUCAGUAGCUGGUCUGAGAGGACGACCAGCCACACUGGGACUGAGACACGGCCCAGACUCCUACGGGAGGCAGCAGUGGGGAAUUUUGAACAAUGGGGGCAACCCUGAUCCAGCAAUGCCGCGUGAGUGAAGAAGGCCUUCGGGUUGUAAAGCUCUUUUGUCAGGGAAGAAACGGUGAAGGCUAAUACUCUUUGCUAAUGACGGUACCUGAAGAAUAAGCACCGGCUAACUACGUGCCAGCAGCCGCGGUAAUACGUAGGGUGCAAGCGUUAAUCGGAAUUACUGGGCGUAAAGCGUGCGCAGGCGGUUAUGUAAGUCAGAUGUGAAAUCCCCGGGCUCAACCUGGGAAUGGCAUUUGAGACUGCAUGGCUAGAGUGUGUCAGAGGGGGGUAGAAUUCCACGUGUAGCAGUGAAAUGCGUAGAUAUGUGGAGGAAUACCGAU